CGACUGGCACCCAGGCUAGGUUGGGAGGUACAGAUUGACUGGCACCCAGGCUAGGUUGAGAGGUACAGAUUGACUGGCACCCAGGCUAGGUUGAGAGGUACAGAUUGACUGGCACCCAGGCUAGGUUGAGAGGUACAGAUUGACUGGCACCCAGGCUAGGUUGAGAGGUACAGACUGACUGGCACCCAGGCUAGGUUGAGAGGUACAGACUGACUGGCACCCAGGCUAGGUUGAGAGGUACAGAUUGACUGGCACCCAGGCUAGGUUGAGAGGUACAGAUUGACUGGCACCCAGGCUAGGUUGAGAGGUACAGACUGGC
This is a long non-coding RNA of Oncorhynchus tshawytscha (Chinook salmon), 319 nucleotides long. The record is from Ensembl. Lineage: Eukaryota; Metazoa; Chordata; Actinopteri; Salmoniformes; Salmonidae.